This is a long non-coding RNA of Heterocephalus glaber (naked mole-rat), 1488 nucleotides long. NCBI's taxonomy places the organism in Eukaryota, Metazoa, Chordata, Mammalia, Rodentia, Bathyergidae. The record is from Ensembl.
CAUAAUAAUACUAAAUGAUGGUUUUCACACAACAGAUUUAAAAAUGAGGACACUACAUCAUGUGACCUGCAAGGCAUUAAUCUAACAGUAUCUGUUCAUGGAAACCUGAAGGGAAGUCUGAACUUUUAAGCUGGAGGGAGAGCUCUGUAAAGCUGUCUCUGGGGCAAGAUGAUGAAUGAAGUCCUGGCAGCUUCCUGUGUCCCAGGCCUUGUAGAAAUAACUGAGACAGACGUGCUUCAAAGUUCUAAUGUGCAUCACAUCGGAUCUUGGUUAAGGAAGCGUUAAAAGGAACCCGCCAUUACCUAUUGAGAAGGCUCUGUGCUCUCAGGCAUUUGUUUCUGAUUGAAUCCAGAGGUUGCAAGCAUGCCUCCCUGUAUUACCUGUUGGAGCAGGUUUAAUUUUAUAAAUUUUAAACACAAACUCUAUGAGUUUCUAGUUCAUAAUUGUUCUUUUUGAGGAUCCACUCAGAUGAACAAUAUUGCAUCUGUAAGAGAUACACACCUCCACAAGCCCAGAAUUGAUUGGAAAAUCAGUGACAACAAACUCCCAUCUGUAGCACCAUCCAGUACCAGUGACGGAAAGGACAAAGUGCUUGGAAUCCUUUGGGAAGAAGUCAUGUUGUGUUGGAACUACAAAUGACUGGAACCAUAGCUUUAGUACACCAAGACAUUUUUAAAAACACAGUUUGCAUAUACUAUGUAGUUCUUGACCAGUGGCUUUAAUCCAUUAUUAUUAUCUCCCCGGAUAUCAUCAAACAUUGAAAGUCCUCAACUUGCAUUAAAAAAAUGUUUUUAAAUGCAGCUUUAACAAAAUCCAGUGUUCAAUAUAGUCUUCCGAGUAUUGCACUCCAGCCGUCCUGUCCUUUUAUUGCAAACAGCAGGUACCUGGGUGGUAGACCAGAAGCCUUGUGGUAGAGUAAGGAAUGACAGUGAACAGGCAUACUACAUUGUAUCAUAAACAUACUUUAUAAGUACAUUUCUUAUUUGCUUCUUAUUCAGGCAGAGAUUAUAAAAGUUUGCUACAAGUAUCCAAAUCGGGAUUUGUGUUUUGGAAAUCAUCAGUGUUCACAAUACCUGCAGGGGGAAAAGAAUGGAAAGAUUCAAAUAUGCGUACCCUUUACACUUAAAAGAAUAUUUUCAGUCAUUCUUUUAUUUGUUUUGGCUCUGUCAGAAAUUAAAGUGCUUGGAAUGCUGUAGUCUGUGGUCUCUUGAAGUUUAGUCAAUGAGAACCUAACACCUUCACAGUAUGCUGUCACUUUGGACAUUCAUAAUAAAAAUUGAAACUGAUUUUGGUUGCUAGUCAUUUAUUUUGCUUUGUAGCUUAGUACAUCUUUAGUGGUUCGUGUUUGCCUAGCAGAUAUGCAAUCCUUAUCACUAUAUUUAAAGAUGUAGAGAUAAAUACAUAGUUCAGGCCCUCCACUGUAUCUGUCAUUGAAUCACUGAGAUUUUUCAAAUUUGAACAGCCACUCUUGUUAUUUCUUGAAAGGCC